UGGAAUUCCUGGUGGAGCGGUGGAAUGCGCAGAUAUCAGGAGGAACACCAGUGGCGAAGGCGGUUCUCUGGGCCUUUCCUGACGCUGAGGAGCGAAAGCAUGGGGAGCGAACAGGAUUAGAUACCCUGGUAGUCCAUGCCGUAAACGUUGGGCACUAGGUGUGGGGACCAUUCCACGGUUUCCGCGCCGCAGCUAACGCAUUAAGUGCCCCGCCUGGGGAGUACGGCCGCAAGGCUAAAACUCAAAGGAAUUGACGGGGGCCCGCACAAGCGGCGGAGCAUGCGGAUUAAUUCGAUGCAACGCGAAGAACCUUACCAAGGCUUGACAUGUUCUCGAUCGCCGUAGAGAUACGGUUUCCCCUUUGGGGCGGGAUCACAGGUGGUGCAUGGUUGUCGUCAGCUCGUGUCGUGAGAUGUUGGGUUAAGUCCCGCAACGAGCGCAACCCUCGUUCCAUGUUGCCAGCACGUAAUGGUGGGGACUCAUGGGAGACUGCCGGGGUCAACUCGGAGGAAGGUGGGGACGACGUCAAAUCAUCAUGCCCCUUAUGUCUUGGGCUUCACGCAUGCUACAAUGGCCGGUACAAUGGGUUGCGAUACUGUGAGGUGGAGCUAAUCCCAAAAAGCCGGUCUCAGUUCGGAUUGGGGUCUGCAACUCGACCCCAUGAAGUCGGAGUCGCUAGUAAUCGCAGAUCAGCAACGCUGCGGUGAAUACGUUCCCGGGCCUUGUACACACCGCC
Molecule: ribosomal RNA, 736 nt
Filed under: uncultured Micrococcus sp.
Lineage: Bacteria; Bacillati; Actinomycetota; Actinomycetes; Micrococcales; Micrococcaceae
Description: bacterial SSU rRNA
Rfam family: Bacterial small subunit ribosomal RNA
Source: RNAcentral